CGGAGGGUGCAAGCGUUAUCCGGAUUCACUGGGUUUAAAGGGUGCGUAGGUGGGCAGGUAAGUCAGUGGUGAAAUCUCCGGGCUUAACUCGGAAACUGCCAUUGAUACUAUCUGUCUUGAAUACCGUGGAGGUCAGCGGAAUAUGUCAUGUAGCGGUGAAAUGCUUAGAUAUGACAUAGAACACCAAUUGCGAAGGCAGCUGGCUACACGAAUAUUGACACUGAUGCACGAAAGCGUGGGGGUCAAACAGGAUUAGAUACCCUGGUAGUCCACGCCCUAAACGAUGGAUACUCGACAUACGCGAUACACAGUGUGUGUCUGAGCGAAAGCAUUAAGUAUCCCACCUGGGAAGUACGAUCGCAAGAUUG
RNAcentral lists this ribosomal RNA (368 nucleotides) under uncultured organism. RNAcentral describes it as "bacterial SSU rRNA". It matches the Rfam family "Bacterial small subunit ribosomal RNA", at positions 526 to 896 of the family's 1533-position model. The record is from RNAcentral.